GGGAAAUGGAAGAUGUGGUGGAAAUGAAGAAUAAAUGCUGCUCCAUCCUACAAAGAAUGUCCACUGUGUUGUUACCAGAUGCUGAGACGGUACAACCUGCUGACUGAUGCAUACCAUAUCAUCAGCCUUGGAUACAAGUUCCUACUCACCCUCUCAGUUACCCAGGUAGAUCCUACUCACCCUCUCAGUUACCCAGGUAGUUCCUACUCACCCUCAGUUACCCAGGUAGAUCCUACUCACCCUCUCUGUUACCCAGGUAGAUCCUACUCACCCUCUCAGUUACCCAGGUAGAUCCUACUCACCCUCUCAGUUACCCAGGUAGAUCCUACUCACCCUCUCUGUUACCCAGGUAGUUCCUACUCACCCUCUCAGUUACCCAGCUAGAUCCUACUCACCCUCUGUUACCCAAGUAGUUCCUACUCACCCUCUCAGUUACCCAGGUAGUUCCCACUCACCCUCUCAGUUACCCAGGUAGAUCCUACUCACCCUCUCAGUUACCCAGGUAGCUUGUGAAUGAAGUUUCUCUACCUUAAAGUAUAUCAAGAGCAGGGGCUGGUAGUGAUGUAGCUAG
RNAcentral lists this long non-coding RNA (571 nucleotides) under Salmo salar (Atlantic salmon). Its description in RNAcentral is "lncRNA (ENSSSAG00000107502.1)". Lineage: Eukaryota; Metazoa; Chordata; Actinopteri; Salmoniformes; Salmonidae. The record is from RNAcentral.